Molecule: ribosomal RNA, 253 nt
Filed under: uncultured bacterium
Lineage: Bacteria
Description: partial 16S ribosomal RNA
Rfam family: Bacterial small subunit ribosomal RNA
Source: RNAcentral
UACGUAGGCAGCGAGCGUUGUUCGGAGUUACUGGGCGUAAAGGGUGUGUAGGCGGUUCUUUAAGUUUGGUGUGAAAUCUCCCGGCUCAACCGGGAGGGUGCGCCGAAUACUGAGGGACUAGAGUACGGGAGAGGAGAGUGGAAUUCCUGGUGUAGCGGUGAAAUGCGUAGAUAUCAAGAGGAACACCUGAGGUGAAGACGGGUUGCUGGGCUGAUACUGACGCUGAGGCGCGAAAGCUAGGGUAGCAAACGGG